UUGACUUAUUUAAUAAGACGCUCAGAUAUAUAUAAAAUAACAAGAGUUGAAUAGUCCAUCGGCGGGCUACAGGGUAGAUACCGGGUAGGUCCCGCCGAGGCAACAAAGGUAAAUUCACAUGGGUUGGGAGUUUUUUACGACUCAGUAAUGAUCCCUCCGCUGGUUCACCAACGGAGA
Molecule: unclassified non-coding RNA, 177 nt
Filed under: uncultured fungus
Lineage: Eukaryota; Fungi
Description: sequence contains ITS1
Source: RNAcentral